This 673-nucleotide long non-coding RNA is filed under the name Vigna radiata. RNAcentral describes it as "long non-coding RNA (VRAD_LNC007761)". The record is from RNAcentral. Lineage: Eukaryota; Viridiplantae; Streptophyta; Magnoliopsida; Fabales; Fabaceae.
AUAAAUGCAACUUUUUAUUGUGGAAUAGAUUAAGUGAAAAAGACAAAAAAAAUAGAAAAGAAACACACAAAGUAAGAAGUCUUAAUAAGUGGUCUGAUAGAAAAAAGAAUCCACCAAUUCUUCCUUCUCACUACUAUUUUCUCCAGUUCUUAAACUAGAAUCCCUUUUUAGUUUCAAAAGCACCUCCUGUUCUUUUUAUAGAAAUCUUUGAGAUGUUCCAUCUUGACCCUCUCCAUUUGCAAUUUGCUUCCUUUUGUUUAUUCAUCAAUCUCCUUAUCUACAACUAAUGGAUGGCGAUGACUGCCAAAAUGUUUUGAGUUAGGCAGCACUCGUGUGACUGUUGCAGCUAUGACAAUUCUUUCUGAAUUAUGCAAAUUGUGUUUUCACUCAAACAAAACCUGCAGGGGAGGGGAAGAAGGAAGAUGACAACGUAAGGAGCUUGAUAAUCAGUGAUAAUUUCCAAAAGCACAUGGCUAGUAAGGCUGUUUAUUGUUAGGAAAUUCAGCAGAAUUUUUCUUAAUCAGAUUUGUGAGAAAAAAUAUAAAUGCAGAAUAAUGGCACUCAAAAUAAAACUCUUUAGAUUUCACUGCGCAAAUGUAUUAAUGAUAAAAAAUAAAAUUACAAUAUCACUUUUUCUCUCUUUCUUUAUUUCUACUAUGCGUUUCUCUUUUUC